This 253-nucleotide ribosomal RNA is filed under the name uncultured bacterium. RNAcentral's name for it is "partial 16S ribosomal RNA". It matches the Rfam family "Bacterial small subunit ribosomal RNA", at positions 524 to 776 of the family's 1533-position model. The record is from RNAcentral.
UACGGAGGAUGCAAGCGUUAUCCGGAAUUAUUGGGCGUAAAGCGUCCGUAGGUGGAGGUUCAAGUCAGCUGUUAAAGCGUGAGGCUUAACCUCAUAAGGGCAGUUGAAACUGAGCAUCUAGAGUGCGGUAGGGGCAAGGGGAAUUCCCAGUGUAGCGGUGAAAUGCGUAGAUAUUGGGAAGAACACCGGUGGCGAAAGCGCCUUGCUGGGUCUGCACUGACACUGAGGGACGAAAGCUAGGGGAGCGAAAGGG